AGAGUUUGAUCAUGGCUCAGAUUGAACGCUGGCGGCAGGCCUAACACAUGCAAGUCGAACGGUAACAGGAAGCAGCUUGCUGCUUUGCUGACGAGUGGCGGACGGGUGAGUAAUGUCUGGGAAACUGCCUGAUGGAGGGGGAUAACUACUGGAAACGGUGGCUAAUACCGCAUAACGUCGCAAGACCAAAGAGGGGGACCUUCGGGCCUCUUGCCAUCAGAUGUGCCCAGAUGGGAUUAGCUUGUUGGUGAGGUAACGGCUCACCAAGGCGACGAUCCCUAGCUGGUCUGAGAGGAUGACCAGCCACACUGGAACUGAGACACGGUCCAGACUCCUACGGGAGGCAGCAGUGGGGAAUAUUGCACAAUGGGCGCAAGCCUGAUGCAGCCAUGCCGCGUGUAUGAAGAAGGCCUUCGGGUUGUAAAGUACUUUCAGCGGGGAGGAAGGUGUUGUGGUUAAUAACCGCAGCAAUUGACGUUACCCGCAGAAGAAGCACCGGCUAACUCCGUGCCAGCAGCCGCGGUAAUACGGAGGGUGCAAGCGUUAAUCGGAAUUACUGGGCGUAAAGCGCACGCAGGCGGUCUGUCAAGUCGGAUGUGAAAUCCCCGGGCUCAACCUGGGAACUGCAUUCGAAACUGGCAGGCUUGAGUCUUGUAGAGGGGGGUAGAAUUCCAGGUGUAGCGGUGAAAUGCGUAGAGAUCUGGAGGAAUACCGGUGGCGAAGGCGGCCCCCUGGACAAAGACUGACGCUCAGGUGCGAAAGCGUGGGGAGCAAACAGGAUUAGAUACCCUGGUAGUCCACGCCGUAAACGAUGUCUACUUGGAGGUUGUGCCCUUGAGGCGUGGCUUCCGGAGCUAACGCGUUAAGUAGACCGCCUGGGGAGUACGGCCGCAAGGUUAAAACUCAAAUGAAUUGACGGGGGCCCGCACAAGCGGUGGAGCAUGUGGUUUAAUUCGAUGCAACGCGAAGAACCUUACCUGGUCUUGACAUCCACAGAACUUUCCAGAGAUGGAUUGGUGCCUUCGGGAACCGUGAGACAGGUGCUGCAUGGCUGUCGUCAGCUCGUGUUGUGAAAUGUUGGGUUAAGUCCCGCAACGAGCGCAACCCUUAUCCUUUGUUGCCAGCGGUUAGGCCGGGAACUCAAAGGAGACUGCCAGUGAUAAACUGGAGGAAGGUGGGGAUGACGUCAAGUCAUCAUGGCCCUUACGACCAGGGCUACACACGUGCUACAAUGGCGCAUACAAAGAGAAGCGACCUCGCGAGAGCAAGCGGACCUCAUAAAGUGCGUCGUAGUCCGGAUUGGAGUCUGCAACUCGACUCCAUGAAGUCGGAAUCGCUAGUAAUCGUGGAUCAGAAUGCCACGGUGAAUACGUUCCCGGGCCUUGUACACACCGCCCGUCACACCAUGGGAGUGGGUUGCAAAAGAAGUAGGUAGCUUAACCUUCGGGAGGGCGCUUACCACUUUGUGAUUCAUGACUGGGGUGAAGUCGUAACAAGGUAACCGUAGGGGAACCUGCGGUUG
Molecule: ribosomal RNA, 1522 nt
Filed under: Salmonella enterica subsp. enterica serovar Kentucky
Lineage: Bacteria; Pseudomonadati; Pseudomonadota; Gammaproteobacteria; Enterobacterales; Enterobacteriaceae
Description: bacterial SSU rRNA
Rfam family: Bacterial small subunit ribosomal RNA
Source: RNAcentral